Molecule: unclassified non-coding RNA, 1672 nt
Filed under: Hevea brasiliensis (rubber tree)
Lineage: Eukaryota; Viridiplantae; Streptophyta; Magnoliopsida; Malpighiales; Euphorbiaceae
Source: RNAcentral
AGCUCUCAUAAUUCAACAUACCUAGAUGCAUUAUGUCAAAUAAUAAUCAAAUCUCAUGCAAUCCCGCAUUCUCUUGCCCUUGAAAGUUGGUAAAUGAUUUAAGCAACUCAUUAAAUGAGUUUCCAUUCAUAUUCAACCUGCGGAGUCUAGAACAUAACUUUAAUCUCAAUUUAUCCAAAUUUACACAAGAAGUUUCCGCCAUCAAACAUAAUCCAGAGCACCAAGUAGAAAUGUAACAAUAUAUCACAUUGGCAUAAGACCAGAUCCUAUUACAUAUUUUACCCCCUGGCCUUUAGGUCUGCAAGACGCCUUGACAAAUCAUCCUCAUCAACCUUCUCUUCUGACUUGGUUGCCACCGCAUGUGCAGCAGGCUGUGGGAGCCCAACAGAGACCUCCAAUCCGUAGUCAUCAGCUACUUGCUGCAUCAAGUUGUUGACCUCACCCUCAGGCGUGGAUAAUGAGGUGGAUCCAGCCAUUGCAUUCUCCAUGAAUUCUGCCUGGACCUCCAUGUUUACAAACUGUUUCUCAAAUUGAUCCAUAGUCUCUGACAUCUUCUGCAAAUUACCUGCAGCCAAGGAUGAUUCAAAAUAUAAUCACCACAUCGCAAAUUCAGUCAUAAAAGAAUUGCCUGCCAGAGAACAGCAACACACAGUAAAACACCCACGACAACAACAAUAAAUCAACUAGCAUUUUCUUAGGGUAGAUGACAGAAGUAAAAUGAGCUUCAAAAUUUUGAAGUUUUGAGUUUCCAUGCAUCCCCUUUUCAUUAUCGACACCUUUCUCACAGGUCAUCACUAGACCCAUGAAAAAAAAAUCAACAACAGAACAGAAGCAAAAAUAAACAACUCAAAAAAAAAAAGCUUGCAAAUUCCUAAAACGUAAGUUUUUGAAAGAUAAACCCUCAUCAAGCAUCCAGCAUGAUACCGUAGUAACUUAUAGGGUCAAUUAUGAUCAAUUGACAAAAUCCAAGAAAAAUACAAAUCUCUCUAGGCCCAGAUCCAGCAUUAUACAAUCGCGAUCAAGCUUUACUUUUCCACAAUUGACAUUACUCAUUUAUUGACAGAUUGGUUGAUAAGCAAAAAAUCCAAAAUUUUGAAAAAUCAAAAACAUAAUAUUUCCAAAAUCAACAAACCGCAAUUCAUCAAUUAUAAACAAUAAUAAAAGAAUUACCAGUAGCUAGAGAAGACUCCAGCGAUUUAACGAUGGAGGCCAUGGACUUGUUAAUGGUGGUCAUCUUAGCCUGCGUAUCGAGCCUAGCGACGACGGCAUCGAGCCUAGACGCAAGCCUGAGGUAGUUCAUCUGCUCGGUCCUCUUACGGAUGGCGUUCUCGGCGUAGAUCCGUGCCCCAUCCACGUUCCCCUUCUCGAUCGCCUUCUUGACCUUUAAUUUCUCGGACUUCUCUUCCUUCUCGCACUUUCGGGCCUGCCUUUGCAGCGAUUUCGAGGUGAACUUGAGGUCCAUGAUCUGAUUCAAAAGUUUCUCCGUGUUACCCAUGCCUGGAAAUCAGAAAAAUUAGAAAUUCUAGGGUUUUAGUUUUGUGAAUUUAGACAAGAUCCCAAAUAGGAUUUGGCUAUCGAGAAAAAUAAGAAAUUCUAGGGUUUUUAGUUUUGUGAAUUUAGAGAAGAUCCCGAAUAGGAUUUGGGUAUUGAAGAGUUUGUUUGGCGCUGCGGA